Syzygium oleosum is the source of this 935-nucleotide long non-coding RNA. RefSeq lists it as uncharacterized. The record is from RefSeq and is a predicted model, not a curated record. The transcript has 2 exons. Lineage: Eukaryota; Viridiplantae; Streptophyta; Magnoliopsida; Myrtales; Myrtaceae.
GAACCCUAGCUGGCGGCUGGUUGUGCAGAGUGACUGGGCUUUGGUUUGGUGUGGGCUUGGCCCAUUUAUUCACGGCCCAACCCAAGAGGGGGCCCCUUAUUUAGAAAAUUUACCUUCUGAAAUUUGCAAUGGAGAGCUUGAACAGGAAAAGAGGCUCAUGAUCAUGCGAGUCACCAUCACACCGCUUAGUACAUACCCAGGAGUAUGCGCAAUUCGAGUUCGUUUGUAUAACAAAGAGUGUGCGCGUGCGUCGGUGACGCUAAUCCAGUCCUUCGUUUCUUUGCUUUGGAUGUUGCAGAAUGCAGGGAGGAAGGGUGAGGCCGACGUAUGCAGAUCAACCGACAGAAUGCACUCAGGAUGGUCGAUUUCAUUGUCGAUUAUUACGAGUCCAUCGAGAGCUUCCCCGUCCUCAGCCAUGUCGAGGUUUUGGUUCAUUCCGUCCUCCUUGAGCUUUCAUUUCCAUGUUAUAAUUGAUUGGACAGGGUCAACAACAGUUAUCUCGAAUGAUGGGAGUAGAAAAUUCGACUCUCUUUUAUUUCCCUUACAAAGACGGAGUGGUUAGAGAGAUGCAAUCACAGUACAUCUGCAUGUAAGGGAGGGAUACAGAGUUCGGACACAGGUCUUAUUAUCGCCUAACGAUCAUCUUGUAACAGCUAGGCUUUCACUGGUGUCUCGAUAGCAACCUCCCCUGGAUACUGAACGCUUUCCGACUUCUUGUCAGCUUCCCAGAGUUCGGGCAGUGCCUCGCGGAUAUUAUGGAUGCUCUCUAAUGCAUGGUCGACCCCCUUAGUUCGGUGAGCAGUGCCAACCUACAUACAUCGAUGUCGUGACCGAAAAAUUUCAGGAUUUUUCUUUAUAGCAAUCAUCAAUGCCUAUUCCAAGCAUCAAUCUUUAUGCUAUCAAAUAAAGAAUGACAAGCAGUAAUUCAGAUUUUC